UACGUAGGGUGCAAGCGUUAAUCGGAAUUACUGGGCGUAAAGCGUGCGCAGGCGGUUAUGUAAGACAGGUGUGAAAUCCCCGGGCUUAACCUGGGAACUGCAUUUGUGACUGCAUAGCUAGAGUACGGUAGAGGGGGAUGGAAUUCCGCGUGUAGCAGUGAAAUGCGUAGAUAUGCGGAGGAACACCGAUGGCGAAGGCGGCCCACUGGAUCGGUACUGACGCUGAGGUGCGAAAGCGUGGGGAGCAAACAGG
This 253-nucleotide ribosomal RNA is filed under the name uncultured bacterium. RNAcentral's name for it is "partial 16S ribosomal RNA". It matches the Rfam family "Bacterial small subunit ribosomal RNA", at positions 524 to 776 of the family's 1533-position model. The record is from RNAcentral.